This 428-nucleotide ribosomal RNA is filed under the name Bacteroidota bacterium. RNAcentral's name for it is "Bacteroidetes bacterium partial 16S ribosomal RNA". It matches the Rfam family "Bacterial small subunit ribosomal RNA", at positions 355 to 776 of the family's 1533-position model. Lineage: Bacteria; Pseudomonadati; Bacteroidota. The record is from RNAcentral.
UAGGGAAUCUUCCGCAAUGGACGCAAGUCUGACGGAGCAACGCCGCGUGAGUGAAGAAGGAUUUCGGUUCGUAAAACUCUGUUGUUAGAGAAGAACAGCGCAUAGAGUAACUGUUAUGCGUGUGACGGUAUCUAAUCAGAAAGCCACGGCUAACUACGUGCCAGCAGCCGCGGUAAUACGUAGGUGGCAAGCGUUAUCCGGAAUUAUUGGGCGUAAAGCGCGCGUAGGCGGUUAGAUAAGUCUGAAGUUAAAGGCAGUGGCUCAACCAUUGUAGGCUUUGGAAACUGUUUAACUUGAGUGCAGAAGGGGAGAGUGGAAUUCCAUGUGUAGCGGUGAAAUGCGUAGAUAUAUGGAGGAACACCGGUGGCGAAAGCGGCUCUCUGGUCUGUAACUGACGCUGAGGCUCGAAAGCGUGGGGAGCGAACAGG